AGAGUUUGAUCAUGGCUCAGAUUGAACGCUGGCGGCAGGCCUAACACAUGCAAGUCGAGCGGUAACACAGGGAGCUUGCUCCUGGGUGACGAGCGGCGGACGGGUGAGUAAUGUCUGGGAAACUGCCUGAUGGAGGGGGAUAACUACUGGAAACGGUAGCUAAUACCGCAUAACGUCGCAAGACCAAAGAGGGGGACCUUCGGGCCUCUUGCCAUCAGAUGUGCCCAGAUGGGAUUAGCUAGUAGGUGGGGUAACGGCUCACCUAGGCGACGAUCCCUAGCUGGUCUGAGAGGAUGACCAGCCACACUGGAACUGAGACACGGUCCAGACUCCUACGGGAGGCAGCAGUGGGGAAUAUUGCACAAUGGGCGCAAGCCUGAUGCAGCCAUGCCGCGUGUAUGAAGAAGGCCUUCGGGUUGUAAAGUACUUUCAGCGGGGAGGAAGGCGUUGAGGUUAAUUACAGAAGAAGCACCGGCUAACUCCGUGCCAGCAGCCGCGGUAAUUC
RNAcentral lists this ribosomal RNA (505 nucleotides) under uncultured bacterium. Its description in RNAcentral is "bacterial SSU rRNA". It matches the Rfam family "Bacterial small subunit ribosomal RNA", at positions 8 to 526 of the family's 1533-position model. The record is from RNAcentral.